Paramuricea clavata is the source of this 454-nucleotide non-coding RNA. Lineage: Eukaryota; Metazoa; Cnidaria; Anthozoa; Malacalcyonacea; Plexauridae. The record is from the annotation of a GenBank genome assembly.
GUGGUGUGGUGCCUACUGUAAAUUACUUUGAAUUUGUACUCGAGUAAAAGUAGAAGUAAUUAACAACAAGACGACUUGAGUAAGAAUAAAAAGUAUUGGAAGCAAAACUUACUUAAGUAAAAAGUACAAAAGUAUCCUUAAAAAAUACUUGAAGUACAAAGUAAAAGUAAAAGUACUAUAAUUGUCUAUAGCAUGUAGGAGGGGGGAGGGGGGGGACUUCUUCAAUAGAUUGACAUACAAAAGACACAAAACAGCACACAUGUGUGUACCAUAAUAUACAAUAUUUCACAGCAUGGUCUACUUUCCAGACACUGUUGGAGAUAUAAGAAAUCCAUUAAAUAAAUAAUGGUUAUAAGUAAGCCACAAACGAGAGAUACCUGACUAUUAGCUAUCCCAAAAUUAAAAUAAAUCGGUGAUUUAUCUCACGUAAAAUAAACAAAUGUGAGAAAGUAAC